AUGAACUUACGGUGUAGCACUCCACCGCAGUCGGAGAAACGCAGAUCUCAGGGUAGCGCCACCCAGACGUUGAGAACGCAGCUACAACGACCACCCAGGUGCUUAGCACGGACUCCGCCGCCGGACACACGCUCCCCUGUCGGAGGCGGGGCCAGGGCCCGGAAGGGGCGGGGCCCGGAGCCCCAAAAGCCCAACGGAAGAAGCUGUGCUUUCUUUUCCGCGCGGCUGUCGACGGAGGAGGCCUUGCGAAGCUUGGUCGGUCAUGCGGCCCGGGCGGCAGCGCCAGCGGACCAGUCGCUGGGUCCUUCGAGGUACAACAGAGCCUAUGAGUUGAAGAUGAACGUUGUGAUGUUUUCCAAAAACAUCUGAGGAUGGCUGUGAUAAAACUACUAGGAGCACAACUGCAUGUAAUGAGCAUGUAGGUAGCUGCAGAUGAAUGUCCAAGUCCAUAACUGUUGUGGUUAAAAAUUCUUCAUUGCCUCG
Molecule: long non-coding RNA, 483 nt
Filed under: Felis catus (domestic cat)
Lineage: Eukaryota; Metazoa; Chordata; Mammalia; Carnivora; Felidae
Description: lncRNA (ENSFCAG00000051722.1)
Source: RNAcentral